Long non-coding RNA from Choloepus didactylus (southern two-toed sloth), 807 nucleotides. RefSeq lists it as uncharacterized. The record is from RefSeq and is a predicted model, not a curated record. NCBI's taxonomy places the organism in Eukaryota, Metazoa, Chordata, Mammalia, Pilosa, Megalonychidae. The transcript has 5 exons.
CUCACUGAGUUACUCAGAGUCCAACGAGCUCAGGCACGAGGCAAAUGAUUGGUUUCCAGACCCUUCUCACAUGGACGAACUUUCCUCUGGACACAAAUUCUGGAUGUGGGAUGUGCCUGCAAAGCAGCAUGGACGUGGAAGAGAACCAGCAACAAGGAGCAAAGCCUCUCAUAUGGAAAAUUUGAAAUGCAGAGGGGAAACAAUAGCUAAGGACAUCAGUGAAGACAUGAAGAUGAUGAAACUGAGGCCAAGAGAGGAUAAGUUACAGUGGCAGAGUUGAGAAGUUUGACAAUCGUCUCAGGCCCCCGAAGCCUAAAAUAUUUACUAUCUGGCCCUUUUCAGGAAAAAAAAAUGUACAUCACUGCUCCUGUUACAGAAAACCAGAUGUUAAACCUGAGAACUUUAUACACAAACAGAAACCACACCAACAGAGACUGCUGCCGGGACAACCACUGACAUAGUAUUGAAAAGAAAGAGAACUAAAGAUUGCCUCCAGAGAAAAUGGUAUCCAUUGCAGCCAAAGAGAAUUUAUCUUGUUACAUAAGAUCCUUUUAUUUAUCUUGGGAGUUGGAAAUAGUUGCUAUCACGAUUUAAAUUACAGCCUAAAUGCCUAGAAAGGACUUCAUUUGAAACAACAAAUAAUUCUUUAGUGAUUGAUUUGCCUUAAAUGCCAUCAGCUCUUGACUGCCUUGCAGGCUUUAUGGAAUUUCAUAAAUGGUAUAUUCUGUUGAGUUUCCCUGAUAUAGAUCUUUCUAUUAAAAAAAAAAAAAGAGCCAUGUAACAAUUGUCUUUGUUUAACUGCUGAAA